Molecule: ribosomal RNA, 679 nt
Filed under: uncultured bacterium
Lineage: Bacteria
Description: bacterial SSU rRNA
Rfam family: Bacterial small subunit ribosomal RNA
Source: RNAcentral
GGCAUAUCACUAACAAUAUACUGACGCUGAUGAACGAAAGCGUAGGUAGCCAACAGGAUUAGAUACCCUGGUAGUCUACGCUGUAAACGAUGGUUACUAGCUGUUCGUCACGCCUUAGGCGAGAUGAGUGGUUAAGCGAAAGUGAUAAGUAACCCACCUGGGGAGUACGUUUGCAAGAAUGAAACUCAAAGGAAUUGACGGGGGCCCGCACAAGCGGUGGAGCAUGUGGUUUAAUUCGAUGAUACGCGAGGAACCUUACCAAGGCUUAAAUGCAUAUUGACGAUUCACGAAAGUGGAUUUUCUUCGGACAAUUUGCAAGGUGCUGCAUGGUUGUCGUCAGCUCGUGCCGUGAGGUGUCAGGUUAAGUCCUAUAACGAGCGCAACCCCUGUGGUUAGUUACCAGCAUGUAAUGAUGGGGACUCUAGCCAGACUGCCGGUGCAAACCGUGAGGAAGGUGGGGAUGACGUCAAAUCAUCACGGCCCUUACGCCUUGGGCUACACACGUGCUACAAUGGUAUAUACAAUGAGCAGCCAUCUGGCGACAGAGCGCUAAUCUAUAAAGUAUAUCACAGUUCGAAUCGGAGUCUGCAACUCGACUCUGUGAAGCUGGAAUCGCUAGUAAUCGCACAUCAGCCAUGGUGCGGUGAAUACGUUCCCGGGCCUUGUACACACCGCCCGU